RNAcentral lists this ribosomal RNA (301 nucleotides) under uncultured bacterium. Its description in RNAcentral is "partial 16S ribosomal RNA". It matches the Rfam family "Bacterial small subunit ribosomal RNA", at positions 509 to 809 of the family's 1533-position model. The record is from RNAcentral.
CAGCAGCCACGGGAAUACAGAGGGUGCGAGCGUUAAUCGGAUUUACUGGGCGUAAAGCGUGCGUAGGCGGCUUCUUAAGUCGGAUGUGAAAUCCCUGAGCUUAACUUAGGAAUUGCAUUCGAUACUGGGAAGCUAGAGUAUGGGAGAGGAUGGUAUAAUUCCAGGUGUAGCGGUGAAAUGCGUAGAGAUCUGGAGGAAUACCGAUGGCGAAGGCAGCCAUCUGGCCUAAUACUGACGCUGAGGUACGAAAGCAUGGGGAGCAAACAGGAUUAGAUACCCCCGUAGUCCCUGUCUCUUAUAA